Sus scrofa (pig) is the source of this 609-nucleotide non-coding RNA. NCBI's taxonomy places the organism in Eukaryota, Metazoa, Chordata, Mammalia, Artiodactyla, Suidae. The record is from RefSeq and is a predicted model, not a curated record.
GCAGAGACAGCAGGCAUCAAGGCGGGAAGACGUGCAUGUCCUCCCAAAGUCUUCUGAUCUCCUCCCGUGCUGGAGUGGCCCAGCCACCCUCUGCCUGUCACCGAAUCCUUUUCAUCAGCUGUGCCCUGACUCCCAGAAGUCCUCUGCAGUAGCUCAGGAGUCUGGCCCAUCAUCCCGGCUGCCGUCCAAGCAGGAGAAGACGGGAUUUCCCUGGCUUCCUGGAUGACUCCCUGAGGCCCCCCAUGCAACGUGUCCCUAACUGGCCUCAGGAUCCUCUUACCCAAACCUAGACCUAGCCUAGACACCUCUCCCCCACCCAGGCAGCCCCACAGCCGGUCCACUUGGCCUCCUGAGUCCCUCGCCCAUCUGCCCCCUCGCAUGGCCCCUGCCUUGGUCCAGCCCUGUCCUCUCUGUGCAGGUCCCAGCCCCCCAGGGUCACCCCCUCCGAUCCCUCACUUGGCAGCCAGAGGAAGUUUCAAAGCCUGACUAUCCCCGUCUCCUGCUCAGAAUCUUUCCAAAGCGUCCUCGAGAAAAGUCCAGCUUCCUGACCACAGCGAGUCAGUGUGAUCUGGUGCCUGCCUCCUUCUGUGGCCUCAUGUUGCUCCACCC